GGCGAACGCUGGCGGCGUGCUUAACACAUGCAAGUCGAACGGAAAGGCCCUGCUUGCAGGGUGCUCGAGUGGCGAACGGGUGAGUAACACGUGGGUGAUCUGCCCCUUACUUUGGGAUAAGCCUGGGAAACUGGGUCUAAUACUGGAUAGGACCAUGCUGUAGGUGGUGUGGUGGAAAGAUUAGUUUCGGUAAGGGAUGAGCUCGCGGCCUAUCAGCUUGUUGGUGGGGUAAUGGCCUACCAAGGCGUCGACGGGUAGCCGGCCUGAGAGGGUGGACGGCCACAUUGGGACUGAGAUACGGCCCAGACUCCUACGGGAGGCAGCAGUGGGGAAUAUUGCACAAUGGGCGCAAGCCUGAUGCAGCGACGCCGCGUGGGGGAUGACGGCCUUCGGGUUGUAAACUCCUUUCAGCCAUGACGAAGCCCUUGCGGUGACGGUAGUGGUAGAAGAAGCACCGGCUAACUACGUG
Molecule: ribosomal RNA, 469 nt
Filed under: uncultured bacterium
Lineage: Bacteria
Description: partial 16S ribosomal RNA
Rfam family: Bacterial small subunit ribosomal RNA
Source: RNAcentral